UGGGCAACCUGCCCCCCUCUCUGGGAUAACCCCGGGAAACCGGAGCUAAUACCGGAUACUCCGGCUGGAUCGCAUGGUCCGGCCGGGAAAGGUCCGCCGGAGAGGGAUGGGCCCGCGGCCUAUCAGCUUGUUGGUGGGGUAACGGCCUACCAAGGUAUCGACGGGUAGCUGGUCUGAGAGGACGACCAGCCACACUGAGACUGAGACACGGCCCAGACUCCUACGGGAGGCA
RNAcentral lists this ribosomal RNA (232 nucleotides) under uncultured bacterium. RNAcentral's name for it is "partial 16S ribosomal RNA". It matches the Rfam family "Bacterial small subunit ribosomal RNA", at positions 118 to 350 of the family's 1533-position model. The record is from RNAcentral.